GUGAGGAAUUUUCCGCAAUGGGCGAAAGCCUGACGGAGCAAUGCCGCGUGAAGGAUGAAGGCCUAUGGGUUGUAAACUUCUUUUCUCAGAAAAGAAUUAUGACGGUAUCUGAGGAAUAAGCAUCGGCUAACUCUGUGCCAGCAGCCGCGGUAAGACAGAGGAUGCAAGCGUUAUCCGGAAUGAUUGGGCGUAAAGCGUCUGUAGGUUGUUUAAAAAGUAUUCUGUCAAAGAUUAGGGCUUAACCCUAGAUAGGCAGAAUAAACUUUUAAGCUAGAGUUUGGUAGAGGCAGAGUGAAUUCCCGGUGGAGCGGUGAAAUGCGUAGAUAUCGGGAGGAACACCAAAGGCGAAGGCACUCUGCUGGGCCAAUACUAACACUGAGAGACGAAAGCGAGGGGAGCAAAUGGGAUUAGAAACCCGAGUAGUCC
RNAcentral lists this ribosomal RNA (426 nucleotides) under uncultured bacterium. Its description in RNAcentral is "bacterial SSU rRNA". It matches the Rfam family "Bacterial small subunit ribosomal RNA", at positions 354 to 796 of the family's 1533-position model. The record is from RNAcentral.